Molecule: ribosomal RNA, 410 nt
Filed under: uncultured bacterium
Lineage: Bacteria
Description: bacterial SSU rRNA
Rfam family: Bacterial small subunit ribosomal RNA
Source: RNAcentral
ACCCAGAGGCUGCUUCCAAAACUGCUGUGCUCGAGUGUGAGAGAGGCUCGUGGAAUUGCAGGUGUAGCGGUGAAAUGCGUAGAUAUCUGCAGGAACACCCGUGGCGAAAGCGGCGAGCUGGAUCACUACUGACGCUGAGGAACGAAAGCUAGGGGAGCAAACAGGAUUAGAUACCCUGGUAGUCCUAGCCCUAAACGAUCAGGACUUGGGGUGCCGCCCGUUCGGGCGUCGUCCCGGAGCUAACGCGUUAAGUCCUGCACCUGGGGAGUACGGUCGCAAGACUGAAACUCAAAGGAAUUGACGGGGGCCCGCACAAGCGGUGGAACAUGUGGUUCAAUUCGACGCUACGCGAGGAACCUUACCUGGGCUCGAAAUGCUAGUGACCAGCUGUAGAAAUACGGCCUUCCCGC